Molecule: long non-coding RNA, 420 nt
Filed under: Gossypium raimondii (Peruvian cotton)
Lineage: Eukaryota; Viridiplantae; Streptophyta; Magnoliopsida; Malvales; Malvaceae
Description: long non-coding RNA (GRAI_LNC005338)
Source: RNAcentral
CACGGGAAAGCAGACGAGAUUUGUUGACAACAGCGAUGAUGAGAUUGAAGAAGAAGAAGAAUGGGGAGAGAAUGGGGAGUAUUCAAGUGAUAUAAUGAGGUUGAAGGGGUUGCCAACACCCAAAGGAAAGCACCUGCGCUUUCCUCUGGAGGAGGAGGCUGAGCUGUGUAAAGGCAAAAGAAAGAUAAGCAUGACAGAGAUGUUCAUGGGAAAGCACACGAGAUUUGUUUACAACAGCGAUGAUGAGAUUGAAGAAGAAGAAGAAGAAUGGGGGGAGCAUGGGGAGUAUUCAAGUGAUAUAAUGAGGUUGAAGGGGUUGCCAACACCCAAAAGAAAGCACCUGCGCUUUCCUCUGGAGGAGGAGGAUGAGCAAGAUUAAGUGAUCUCAUUUUAUGAUUGGCUAGGGAAAUUAAUGCUCGG